UGGUGGUGGGUUCAGAUCCUUGGAGUAUCCUAAGAAGCCAACAGCUCUAUAAGUAAUAGAAAAGGAAAUACCACAGAGUGAAAGCCUAAACAUGAAGGCAUCCAGAACAGGCUCCUGUGGAUGRUGCAAUGGAUAUGAGACCACAAAGAAACACCAACUGCUGCACAACUAGAGAUUUUUUUUUUCUCAGAGAAUUCUUCUAAUCAAGAAUUUUCAAGAGCAACAAAUAGAAUUCGGAGAGAAACUUGGGCACCUCUAGGGGAAAAAGAAAGGUGCCUCAUACAUCAUUGGGGCAAAAGCUGACAGAUGGAAUUAAAAGCCUCUCCUGAAUAUCUCAUCUAAGUAUACAACAUUCAAAAGAGACUUCAUCACCCACAAAGAUAUUCUAACCAUUGCACUUCRUUAUCCCUGGCCAUCGCUUAACAAUAUUACAUUGCCUUUCUUUGUACAGUGCAUCUGAGAUUCCUCACAAAUGGGGAAAGCAGAUGAAAGCAACUGCACGUAGGUAUUGCCUAGAUAAGGACAAUAAGAUGGGCUUAUUUCACUUAAUAGAAUGCCAGCUUAUCAAAUGGUGAAGAAUUCAGGAACUUCGUGGCUAGAUCUGAUUUUGGAAACGUUAUCCCUCUUUCAAAAAGCUGCUUGAAUGUGCUGAGAAAUAUUUAUUCAUUAUGAAGAGAAGGAAUAAUUCCUUUUUUCUUCCUUCCUCCCCCACUUCACCCCCAUCCACAGAUCCACAUGCACCCAAACAAUUUUAGACAAAAUUUGGACCUAAUUCUCCAAACAAAGCAUACUUGAUAGCAGAGGCCAGGCCAGAUUCAAGCUAAAUUUGUAAAAGGAGCUCCUCGGAUGAACACUGCUAUCUGACUGCAAAAGAUUAUAAUGAAUAACAAAUGUGCCAAGGUUUUURAUGAGAGAAAUGAGUAGGCUUUUUAUGGACUACUCUGUCUGCAGCAAGUGGUUCCUGUUCCAGAGAGGAGAGGACAUGGAACUUGGGGCUUGCGUUUUCCCUGGCUGCACUUCAGUCUUGAAAAAGUUUAGGGUGACCCUGAUCUAAUUCAGUAAGUAUGAAAUUAGAUUGAUGCCCUUGGUUCUGGCAGCCUGUGAAUUUGGCCCUGYGUUGGGGAAAGCAGGAAUGCUGCUGGUACCCUGACCUUGGGCAGGGUGCCCUGGUACCUGUGGGGCAGGAUUUCUCAAAAACCUGGCURAUCUUUGGAAAAAAAAAUUAUUUUUGUGCAGCCCGUGAUUAAUAUAAUACUGACAAGAUGCUGGUUUGCCUACCUCUGCUAUUKGUGUAUUAAAUUUAUGAGUGCCUCUCUGAAGAUGGAUUGCUUUGGAAAUGAGCAUCCUUAAAGCAGCACUUGGUAUCUAUUGCAUGGAUUUUAUA
This is a long non-coding RNA of Nothoprocta perdicaria, 1384 nucleotides long. RefSeq lists it as uncharacterized. The transcript is spliced from 2 exons. Lineage: Eukaryota; Metazoa; Chordata; Aves; Tinamiformes; Tinamidae. The record is from RefSeq and is a predicted model, not a curated record.